AGUUUCACUAUCCAAUUCCAGUGAGUAUGAGGGGAGCCCAUGGAGUUUGAAAUGACUCCUUUCUUCUCUCAGGGAUGUGAGAAAAAAUAAGAGAAUUUGGGUUGGCUUAGUAGCACUAUUUUGUGAGUCUUAGCUUGAGUUCCCUCGGGAUGGAGACCAACUGCUUCUUUCCGAAUCUUAGGGAAGUUGACCCGUUUUCUCCCAACUGUCCUUAUGGCUCCUUCCUCCAUCUCCUGCUUGGGGCCUCUGUGGACUCUCAUUUGCUGCAUCAGCACAUGAAGGUUCCCUGACUUGGCACCUCCUUAUGCUGAACAUCAGCAGACUCCAUACUGAGUAGGAUUUGGGAGUACAGCUGUUAAUACCAAUAAUUAUGUAACCCUACUCGAUGCCCUCUUAGAGCACGCCGCAGAAAAAUAGAUUGAAAAAGUGAACAAAAAUAUAAACAUCAUGUGUGGUAAUGGCUUCCAAGCAAAGAAUCUGAACCUUACAGCAGCCCCACCUAAGAUUUAUGAACAGGAAACCGGGAAGGGGAAUGACAUUUGAAGUUUUUUAGCAGGUGUGCUUCCUGACCAAAGAAGUCAGAUGAGUGCAUGAGCAGCCCCUUCAAGGACAAGGCUUGGAUUCCCAGGAGCAGACAAGGAACUCUGUGGGCAUACUCCAAGGAAUCUGGACCUCCUCUGUCACAGGACAUCCACUGUUUAAGCACCACCACUACCUCAGAAAGUCCACUGUCUGUGUGUCAACUCCACUGUUACAGGACCAUAAGUGUCUCAGCACUUCAACUAUCACAGCACUUCUACUAUUCAGGAGCUCAAGAGUCUCAGCAUCUCAAGUGUCACAGGACCUCCUUUGUCCAAGAACUGGACUGUCCAAGCAACACUACUAUUGCGGGACCUCCACUGUCACAGGACUUCCACUGUAGGAGCACUACAACUGUCUCAGGACACCCACUGUCCUAUAACCUCCACUAUCCCAGGAAUUCCACUGUCGUAGCACCACCCGUAGCAACUAAAGUGUUUCAGGACAUCAACUGAAGCAAGAUCUCCCAUGAUUCUGCAACUUCACUGCCACAGGAUCUCUACAGUGACAGGAAUACCCCUGUAUCAGCAAUUCCAAUUUUGCAGGACCUCCACUGUAGCAGAACCUUCAAUUGUGCAGCAGCUCCACUGUAGGUAGAUUGACCUCCAUGAUCUCAGUGCAUCGAUUUUCAAAGGACCUUCACUGUCACAGAACCGGCGCUAUUUCAGUGCCUCCACUGUCGCAGGACCUACCUCUUCACAGGAUCUGCACUGUUGCAGCAACUGUAAUUUCAAUUUUUCAAAGUCAUUGCUGUUUAUAUUUGAGGCUGAAUGAAAUGUGAUGCUACUUUUGAAAGCAUAAGAAUUUGUUCUAUAGCUCUUGUGAUAAAUGCCGUGUGUGCUUGGACCAGUAAACUAUGGAAGACUUCAUGAGCUCAUACCACUCUCCACCUCACUUUGUGGAAGCUGGUGUUUUUAGAGUGUGAUAAACUUCAGGUGAAUGGAUGCAUUCAGCUGCACCACGCUCUAGAGUGGGCUACACAGCCGACAUAUUGAAUCCUUGCUGGGAAGAGAAGAAAUCCAGAGGAGGGAGAAGGCUUGGGUUGGGGGAAGUAUCAUAAAAUACUUAGAAGAUAUAAGAAGGUAAGAAUUAUGGGGAACUGGAAAACAGAGCCAGAGGAAGAAUGAGCACAGAGCAAACUGGGAAGGACAAAGUACAAAGGCACUUGGGUUUUGCCAUCUGCAUGUUCUCUGGAAAAUCUCCCUUGGCCUCAUUUCUGGGAGAAAACUCUUCCUCCACCCCCUUGUAAGGUUUCAUUCUUGAAGGAAAGCAGCAACACAACUUCAUCAGUGAAUUUCCCCAUUGGAAUUGGUUCAUCCUUUAAUGCCUCUGGGAAAUCCCCAGAUGGGGAAUGUCCUGCUCUCUGCUGAAGGACAGCAGGAAAGUAGGUUGUCCUCUGUUUUCUCGUUGCUACAGCUCUUCUAAGUGUGGAUGAUUGUUGAGUGAAGACACAGGACACUUCCGGUGUGUAUGUAUGCUUUGUUCACUGUGGGUGUUGUCGGGAGUGUCCUGAAAAGAAGAAAGGCAUGCCCAAUGGCUCUUUGCUUCCUCUUUGACUAGCCUUAUGAUCAUAGGGAGACACUAGGCCAUUGGAAGAUGAGGAGAACAAUGUGUCUAUGUUGUGUUCACUUCUAUUCCUAUUUAGUCCUAGAGGGAAAUCAGCAAGGGUAGAGAAGGGGACCGUAACUGGACAAAGCUGCUGAGCCUGUGUUGUGAAGCAAUUCCUGUGUAUAACUUGUUACAUUAAGCAAUAGGAUGCCAUGUUCUGUUUAUACCUUUUUGAUGCAAUGAAUCUAUAAUAUUUUACCUCAAACCCCAAUAUAUUACGUUUCUUCCUCUUUUGGAGAAUCUGGCAUGAGAGGGAUCACUUCUUCAUAAGGAUUUGUGAACCUCUUCCAGUUUUCAUUGACCAGGGGUACAUCAUCACCUCUGUGACUGUCAGCCCAUAGUUUGGAUUUACUUUCAGUAAUAGGCUAAGCUGUCUCUUCUGACAACCCACAGUGAGCAGGGUACACACCUGCUACAACUUGUCUUCUGAACUGUUGUAUGUCAACAGAGUCAAAUACAACAGUGAAAUAUAAGCCUACUCCUAAGAUCCAUAUGUUGGUUUUUUUUUUUUUUUUUUUGCACCACCAUAAAGUUGUCCUAGGAAGAGAUCAGGUGCACCAAUAGGGUAAGCACCAUGCUGCCAGUUCAGCAUUUGCCCAGAUUUGUCUUGAGUUGAAGGCCAAAGUCGAUGCUUUUGACUUUUCUGUUCUUCUUUAACAAAAUAUAAUCUGGUUUCAGGUCACUGUGAACUUAUACAGUGCCCAUAGCCAUAGAUAAAGCCUGCUAAUAUUUGCCUAAAUAUUUCCUUGGCUCCUUCCUCCUCUCGGUGGAAAGACUUUCAGAUGUAUUUGUAAAGCUGUAAAAUUUCAACCAGUUUCACGAUAAGUUAUUAGAAUUGUCUCAGACUCAAUUGGAGAAGCAAGAUGAUGUUGGGGUGGAUGAAAAACUUCAUUAUAUUGCCAUGGUCAUGUUUGGCUGGCACCAUUGCUUCUUCUUUGCAUGCACUUUGAUAACCCCUGUAGCAGAACUUCCACUGUCCCAGCACCUGAACUAUCCCAAGACCUCCACAGUCAAGGACCAAUAUUGUGGUAGGGCGUCUGUGGUCAGGCAACUCCUCUGUCUCAGACCCUCCAAAUUGCAAGACCUUUACGGGCACUGGAAGUCACUGUCCAUAAACUUCCACUGUUGGAGUACCUCAACUAUAACAAGGACCUCUACUAUUGUACAAUCCCCUUGUCAUAGCACGUCUAUUGUUACAAAGUAGUCCACUGUCAAAGGACCUCCAGGGUCUCAAUCUCUCCACUGUUACAGGAUCUCUACUGUCUUAGGACCACUGCUGUUGGAGGACCUCCUGUCUCUCAGCAACUUCAGUUUGUUGGAGCUCUCCUAUCAGAGGACAUUUACAUUUGCUGUACUUCCAGUGUCACAGCUGUUAUAAGAACCUCCAUUCUCACAGGACCUCCAGUGUGUCAGUACCUCCACUGUCCAAGGACUUUUAUAUUGUAGGACCUCUACUGUCCUACAGAAUGUCCACUGUCGCUAGAUUACCACUGUCACAACACCACAACCAUUACAAGAACUGAAAUUUUGGCAUGACCUCCAGUGUUCCAGCCCCUCCAGUGUCAUAGGACCUCCACUAUCCCAGGACGUCCACUGUCUCACCAAGGCCAAUUUAAAGGACCUCUACUAUAACAGGUUAUCCACUGUAGCUGGACUUACACUGUUGCAGUACCUCAACUGUUGCAGGACCAACAAGGUUGCAGGACAUAGACACUCUCAGCAGCUAGAAUUUGCAGGACCUCUACUGGCACACAAAUUCCACAGUUGCUGGAGCUCCACUGUCACUGCAAAUGCACUGUCUCAUGAUAUUCACUGUUGCUGGACCAGUAGUGUGGCAGUACCUCCAUUUUUGCCAAGCCCCUCCACUGACGCAAGACUUCCACUUUUGUAGCACCUUCACUGUCCAAGCAAACCAACUCCUGCAGGAUCUCCAUUGUCUCAGGGCAUUCACUAAUGCCAACUCUCCAAUGUUGUAGUACUUUUUAAAAAUUCCUCUAAAAAAGGUUACUUUGUUAUUUACAAAUUACAAUUCAGGUGUUGAGAAAAUAAAUAAGGUCAGUUUCCCCCCUAGAUACUAAGUAAAUAAAAUGUUUUUCUAGACACAA
Non-coding RNA from Rattus norvegicus (Norway rat), 4292 nucleotides. NCBI's taxonomy places the organism in Eukaryota, Metazoa, Chordata, Mammalia, Rodentia, Muridae. The record is from RefSeq and is a predicted model, not a curated record.